AUGGCUUCCAUUACCAUGUUGUCAAUUGCUCCAACAACAGGAAGAGUGUUUGCAGCUACAGGUUCAAAGGGUGCAGCAGGUGGAAGCAAGGAAGAGAAAGGAUUUCUUGAUUGGAUUCUUGGUGGUAUGCAGAAAGAAGAUCAGUUGCUAGAGACUGAUCCUAUUCUCAAGAAAGUUGAAGGGAAGAAUAGUAGAGGCACCACUACUAGUGGCAAGAAUUCUGUGGCAGUUCCACAAAAGAAAAAGGGUGUUUUUGAAGGAUUGUUUUCCAAGAAUUAA
Non-coding RNA from Vicia faba (fava bean), 279 nucleotides. The record is from the annotation of a GenBank genome assembly. NCBI's taxonomy places the organism in Eukaryota, Viridiplantae, Streptophyta, Magnoliopsida, Fabales, Fabaceae.